GACGAACGCUGGCGGCGUGCCUAAUACAUGCAAGUCGAACGCAGUGGGGACGGGUGAGUAAAACGUGGGUAACCUCCCAUCAGAGGGGAUAACACUUGGAAACAGGUGCUAAACCGCUACGGUUGGCUGGACCCGCGGUGCAUAAGCUGGUUGGGGAGGUCACGGCCCACCAAGGCCACGAUGCAUAGCGGACCUGCGAGGGUGAUCGGCCAAACUGGGACUGAGACACGGCCCAGAAGCCUACGGGAGGCAGCAGUGGGGAAUGUUGGGCAAUGGACGAAAGUCUGACCGAGCAACGCCGCGUGAGUGAAGAAGGUUUUCGGAUCGUAAAACACUGUUGUGAGGGAAGCGGUAUCUAACCAGAAAGCCACGGCUAACUACGUGCCAGCCGCAGCGGUAAUAC
This 403-nucleotide ribosomal RNA is filed under the name uncultured bacterium. RNAcentral describes it as "partial 16S ribosomal RNA". It matches the Rfam family "Bacterial small subunit ribosomal RNA", at positions 28 to 526 of the family's 1533-position model. The record is from RNAcentral.